UACGUAGGGUGCGAGCGUUGUCCGGAAUUAUUGGGCGUAAAGGGCUCGUAGGCGGUUUGUCGCGUCGGGAGUGAAAACCCAGGGCUUAACCCUGGGCUGGCUUCCGAUACGGGCAGACUAGAGGUAUGCAGGGGAGAACGGAAUUCCUGGUGUAGCGGUGAAAUGCGCAGAUAUCAGGAGGAACACCGGUGGCGAAGGCGGUUCUCUGGGCAUUACCUGACGCUGAGGAGCGAAAGUGUGGGGAGCGAACAGG
RNAcentral lists this ribosomal RNA (253 nucleotides) under uncultured bacterium. RNAcentral's name for it is "partial 16S ribosomal RNA". It matches the Rfam family "Bacterial small subunit ribosomal RNA", at positions 524 to 776 of the family's 1533-position model. RNAcentral also lists the same sequence under 1 other name. The record is from RNAcentral.